ACUCCUACGGGAGGCAGCAGUGGGGAAUAUUGCACAAUGGGCGCAAGCCUGAUGCAGCAACGCCGUGUGAGUGAAGAAGGUUUUCGGAUCGUAAAACUCUGUCCUAAGGGAAGAAAAAAUGACGGUACCUUAGGAGGAAGCCCCGGCUAACUACGUGCCAGCAGCCGCGGUAAUACGUAGGGGGCAAGCGUUAUCCGGAAUCACUGGGCGUAAAGGGUGCGUAGGCGGCUUGACAAGCCAGGGGUGAAAGGCAUUGGCUCAACCAAUGUAAGCCUUUGGAACUGUUAAGCUUGAGUGCAGGAGAGGUAAGUGGAAUUCCUAGUGUAGAGGUGAAAUUCGUAGAUAUUAGGAGGAACACCAGUGGCGAAGGCGACUUACUGGACUGUAACUGACGCUGAUGCACGAAAGCGUGGGUAGCGAACAGGUUUAGAUACCCUGGUAGCACAGAG
This 449-nucleotide ribosomal RNA is filed under the name uncultured bacterium. RNAcentral's name for it is "bacterial SSU rRNA". It matches the Rfam family "Bacterial small subunit ribosomal RNA", at positions 335 to 799 of the family's 1533-position model. The record is from RNAcentral.